AAUCCGGGAGAGACUCCGGGGGGAUGGGUUCCCGCACCGGGGCGCCGAAGGGGCAGAAAAAACUCUCAGGCAGAAGGAUCGGA
Molecule: non-coding RNA, 83 nt
Filed under: bovine gut metagenome
Description: Glycine riboswitch
Rfam family: Glycine riboswitch aptamer
About the family: This family represents the bacterial glycine riboswitch. Glycine riboswitches usually consist of two metabolite-binding aptamers domains with similar structures in tandem.
Source: RNAcentral